GCCUGGCUGGCUACAUCGGUAGAGCAUGCGACUCUUGAUCUCGAGGUUGUGAGUUCAAGCCUCAUGUUGGGUA
RNAcentral lists this transfer RNA (73 nucleotides) under Felis catus (domestic cat). It matches the Rfam family "tRNA". From Rfam's summary of the family: Transfer RNA (tRNA) molecules are approximately 80 nucleotides in length. The record is from Rfam by way of RNAcentral. Lineage: Eukaryota; Metazoa; Chordata; Mammalia; Carnivora; Felidae.